AAGCAAUGAUGAUGAAAGUUGCGCUCUUGUGGUGAUUUGGGUCUCCACAGCUUGUCUGACCUUAUCGGAUGACACCAUGCGCCACUGAGCUU
Ipomoea triloba (trilobed morning glory) is the source of this 92-nucleotide small nucleolar RNA. RefSeq annotates it as small nucleolar RNA snoR114. The record is from RefSeq and is a predicted model, not a curated record. Lineage: Eukaryota; Viridiplantae; Streptophyta; Magnoliopsida; Solanales; Convolvulaceae. The transcript has a single exon.